This 467-nucleotide ribosomal RNA is filed under the name uncultured bacterium. Its description in RNAcentral is "partial 16S ribosomal RNA". It matches the Rfam family "Bacterial small subunit ribosomal RNA", at positions 28 to 523 of the family's 1533-position model. The record is from RNAcentral.
GACGAACGCUGGCGGCGUGCUUAACACAUGCAAGUCGAGCGGGAAACUUCGGUUUCCAGCGGCGGACGGGUGAGUAACACGUGGGCAACCUGCCUCACAAUGAGGGAUAGCCUUCCGAAAGGGAGCUUAAUACCUCAUAACACAAGAGAAACGCCUGUUUCUUUUGCCAAAGAAUUUCGUUGUGAGAUGGGCCCGCGGCGCAUUAGCUAGUUGGUGAGGUAACGGCUCACCAAGGCUUCGAUGCGUAGCCGACCUGAGAGGGUGAUCGGCCACAUUGGAACUGAGACACGGUCCAGACUCCUACGGGAGGCAGCAGUGGGGAAUAUUGCACAAUGGAGGAAACUCUGAUGCAGCAACGCCGCGUGAGUGAUGAAGGUCUUCGGAUUGUAAAGCUCUGUCUUCUGGGACGAUAAUGACGGUACCAGAGGAGGAAGCCACGGCUAACUACGUGCCAGCCGCCGCGGUAA